Molecule: non-coding RNA, 210 nt
Organism: Pelobates cultripes (western spadefoot toad)
Lineage: Eukaryota; Metazoa; Chordata; Amphibia; Anura; Pelobatidae
Source: the annotation of a GenBank genome assembly
GUUUGUCCAUGUGCUUUGAUGUGUAAUGAAAUAUAUGUACUCACAUUGCUCCAUAAUAGAUAUCCAUAAAAUUGAUAAAAUCAGUGAUUUUUAUUUAAUUUAUCCCCCCACCAGUUUCUUUGGAGGAACAGUUUUGUGAUAAAAUUGGAAAGAAAUCUAAGCUACACAGGGCUCUGACUCGCUCAGUGAUGAACGGGAAGUGAUAAAAAG